CCGGCGGACACACCCUCUUGUUUAUCAUUCGUAAAACAAAGAUGAAUUUAUGAUAUCUGUUAUAUUUGUAGAAGACAUAAUUUCAAUAAAUAAUAUAAUAUUUUGCUUUCAUUUAAAAAAAAUGUUUAUAAUUUUCUUUCUCUCUGUGAUAAAAUGUGAACAAUUUAUUACCAAUAUCUUUGUCUAGAUAGCAUAGAUAAC
Molecule: long non-coding RNA, 201 nt
Filed under: Mytilus galloprovincialis (Mediterranean mussel)
Lineage: Eukaryota; Metazoa; Mollusca; Bivalvia; Mytilida; Mytilidae
Source: RNAcentral